RNAcentral lists this ribosomal RNA (459 nucleotides) under uncultured bacterium. RNAcentral describes it as "partial 16S ribosomal RNA". It matches the Rfam family "Bacterial small subunit ribosomal RNA", at positions 338 to 795 of the family's 1533-position model. The record is from RNAcentral.
CCUACGGGUGACAGCAGUGAGGAAUAUUGGUCAAUGGCCGGAAGCCUGAACCAGCCAAGCCGCGUGAAGGACGAAGGUGCCAAGCAUUGUAAACUUCUUUUGUCAGGGGACAAAAUCAGGCUCGAGAGCCUGACCGAGGGUACUUGAAGAAAAAGCAUCGGCUAACUCCGUGCCAGCAGCCGCGGUAAUACGGAGGAUGCGAGCGUUAUCCGGAUUUAUUGGGUUUAAAGGGUGCGUAGGCGGGCUGUUAAGUCAGCGGUAAAAGCCCGGGGCUCAACCCCGGCGAGCCGUUGAAACUGGCUGUCUUGAGAUGUCGAGAGGUAUGCGGAAUGCGCAGUGUAGCGGUGAAAUGCUUAGAUAUUGCGCAGAACUCCGAUUGCGAAGGCAGCAUACCGGCGGCGAUCUGACGCUGAGGCACGAAAGCGUGGGUAUCGAACAGGAUUAGAUACCCCGGUAGUC